Molecule: ribosomal RNA, 380 nt
Filed under: uncultured microorganism
Description: bacterial SSU rRNA
Rfam family: Archaeal small subunit ribosomal RNA
Source: RNAcentral
GUGCACCAGGCGCGAAACCUCCGCAAUACACGAAAGUGUGACGGGGCCAUCCCGAGUGCCGUCCGCUGAGGACGGCUUUUCCCCAGUGUACAUAGCUGGGGGAAUAAGGAGAGGGCAAGCCUGGUGUCAGCCGCCGCGGUAAUACCAGCUCUCCGAGUGGUGGGGACGCUUAUUGGGCCUAAAGCAUCCGUAGCCGGCUGGGCAAGUCCUCCGUUAAAUCCAACGAUUCAAUCGUUGGGCUGCGGGGGAUACUGUCCAGCUUGGGGGCGGGAGAGGCCGACGGUAUUCCCCGGGGUAGGGGUGAAAUCCUAUAAUCCCGGGAGGACCACCAGUGGCGAAGGCUGUCGGCUAGAACGCGCCCGACGGUGAGGGAUGAAAGC